CUUCUUCGAGCGCGGAGGGGAGAGGAAGGAGUCCGCGAGAGAGCGAAGGGAAGGCGGCGAAGCUCGGCGGGAGCGCGGGAAGAGCGAGCCACGGAAACGAAGUCCCUGGGUUUUUCUUUUUUAUAUAGUAAUGAAGAAGUCAAAUUACACCAGAGUUAUGUAUUAAAUGAAGUUGGUAAAAUAUGAAUAAGUAGGAUAUCCAUGGUGUAUCUUUCACAGAUGAGCAAAUUAUAUUCAUGGUUCAGUGUCAUUCAUUCACUGGUUUAUGGAUCACAAAGUCCUUCAGGCAGUGUGACAAAUCCACAUAAAGUCCCUGAGUGAGAGAUUUUGCAUUCUGUAGAUGUGUUAAAAAAAAUAUUCCCCAUGUAGCUCCCUGUGGCUAGACAUCUGAGAAAUCUCAGGAGCAUAAUGUUAUUCCAGCUAAAGUUGGCGGUAAUUUACACUCAAUGAAUUGGUUCCACGUCUGUCUGUUUCAAAUUAUUUGAGAGAGAAACAAGGCUUUGUGCUGAGUGCAUUUACCUUUGGUCAAAUUGUGCUUUGUACAGGAGAUUUGCCAUCACAAAUGAAGAUUAUGUGUAAAUAAACUGAGCACCUCAUUACUAUUUCCUCCCUACCCACACCAUGUUACUGCUUACAAAUGGUGGGAGCUUAACUCCUUACUGGGAAGUCUUUCGGCUGUUCACCUGUGACUUACACAGUAUAAUGCAAUGCUGGAAAAUGGAAAACACAACUUCCAUCCUCAAUCUACUGACAUGUGCCCACAACACUGUUAGGAUUCAAUAAGCCAGUAAGAUAAGGAAUAUACAUAGCAAUAAAGGUCAUUGAAGGUUGUUAGUAUUUCAGAUAACUCAAUGUACAUAUAUUCUUGUUGCUUUGAAACACAUGUAUUCUUAUUUGCUAAGUAUCCAUUAGCUUGAACAUAAUUUUAGGAGAAGUACAAAGGUCUUUACUGAUAUUAGGAGUAUGUUCUUUCUAUACAUAUCAGAGACAGGGAUGGUGAAAGAUCUCUCUAAAUGAAAGAUUAACCAUUUAUGUAAUUUGUUUUGUUUAUUGUUACUGUCCUGAUUGAAGGUUAGCUUACUGUACAGGAUAAUUUGUAGAGUUACUCUGAUCUGACUGUGAAGAUGUCAUGUCAUAGCUUACAUGGAAUGUACAAUGUGGAAAUAGUUAUGCAAUUAAUAUGAUGUAUACUGUUUGUGAGAGAGUAUAAAAGCUGUGUGAAACUUGUGAGCAUUAUAGUACCCAUCACUUACUGGAAAGUCCUUUACUGUUAAUAAAAGUGUAACAUUUCACUUGAA
This is a long non-coding RNA of Podarcis muralis (Common wall lizard), 1298 nucleotides long. RefSeq lists it as uncharacterized. Lineage: Eukaryota; Metazoa; Chordata; Lepidosauria; Squamata; Lacertidae. The record is from RefSeq and is a predicted model, not a curated record.